This is a long non-coding RNA of Malaclemys terrapin pileata, 1082 nucleotides long. RefSeq lists it as uncharacterized. Lineage: Eukaryota; Metazoa; Chordata; Testudines; Emydidae. The record is from RefSeq and is a predicted model, not a curated record. The transcript is spliced from 2 exons.
UGCCAGACAGGAGAGUGGAAGGGGAGCCCUCAAGGGCAGGGAGGCCUCUGGGUAAAGGAAGUGGGAGCGAGGACUCGGAUCCUUUCGCUAGCCCACUUCACCGGGGUAGUGCAGAAGCCAGGAAAGUUCCCCACAAUAGCGGGACCAUUCCCCGCUUACACUAGUAUAACCGUCGGGACCACACUCCAAAGCAGUGUGAAUGGUGCACAGUCGCAUCUGACUCCUCCCCUGCCAUAUGCUCAGGCGGGGCCACACGCUGAUCCGCCCAGUGGCUCAGCCCUCCCACCUGGGCCGCUCGGUGCCUGGCCCUGGGGCACCUCCCCUGCUGCACCCUUGGCAAGCGAAAAUGAAACACGGAGCCGAGUCGCUGGGAAAUUCCCCUGAUGGAGCCUCCAGCAGCCAGAGACUCGUCUGGGGGGCAGCUUCCCACAACUAAACAGCACCUGUUCUGGACCCAGGUGUCCUAGGGGCCCUGCCUGCCCCCCCCCCCCGACCGCCUGGAUGGCCUCCUCCCCCGACACCGACCUCAGGUGCCUGCUGCAGACCGCCCUGGACGGGGCACCCAAAAUCAAUGACCGCAACUCAACGGUGCACGGGUGCCCGGCGCUGCGGGCCUGCCCCGGCUGCAGUGCUCUGGUGACCCACACCCAGAAGGGCUGCCCCACGGUGUGGUGUGCUGAGUGCCCGUGCUCCUUCUGCUUCCGGUGCCUGAAAGUGGGUUACUGCGGGUACAAGCUCCCCCGAUGCCGCAUCAAGAAGAGGCAACAACUGCAGGGCAAGGGAAGCAGCCAGCCCCAGCUGUGAGCCAGGAACAUCUUUGUGCCAACAGGCAGGGGACAAACAGACGAGGGGAUGGACCCUCCUGCCCACCCCUCCCUUUUGGGGUGUCAUGAACAUUCAGCUAAGGGUAGCAUAAAAUCCCUCCUUUACCUGUAAAGGGUUAAGAAGCUCAAAUAAACUGGUUGGCACCUGACCAACAGGACCAAUAAGGGGAGAAGAUACUUUCAAAUCUGUGGGGGACGGUUUUUGCUUUGUGCUCUGUCUGUUGUUCUCUCUGAGACAAAGAGAGAGACCUACUGAAA